This 440-nucleotide ribosomal RNA is filed under the name uncultured bacterium. RNAcentral's name for it is "partial 16S ribosomal RNA". It matches the Rfam family "Bacterial small subunit ribosomal RNA", at positions 338 to 795 of the family's 1533-position model. The record is from RNAcentral.
CCUACGGGAGGCAGCAGUGGGGGAUAUUGGACAAUGGGGGAAACCCUGAUCCAGCGACGCCGCGUGAGUGAAGAAGUAUUUCGGUAUGUAAAGCUCUAUCAGCAGGAAAGAAAAUGACGGUACCUGACUAAGAAGCCCCGGCUAACUACGUGCCAGCAGCCGCGGUAAUACGUAGGGGGCAAGCGUUAUCCGGAUUUACUGGGUGUAAAGGGAGCGUAGACGGCAGCGCAAGUCUGGAGUGAAAUGCCGGGGCCCAACCCCGGAACUGCUCUGGAAACUGUGAAGCUGGAGUGCAGGAGAGGUAAGCGGAAUGCCUGGUGUAGCGGUGAAAUGCGUAGAUAUCAGGAGGAACACCGGCGGCGAAGGCGGCUUACUGGACUGUAACUGACGUUGAGGCUCGAAGGCGUGGGGAGCAAACAGGAUUAGAUACCCCGGUAGUC